Molecule: small RNA, 105 nt
Filed under: Salmonella enterica
Lineage: Bacteria; Pseudomonadati; Pseudomonadota; Gammaproteobacteria; Enterobacterales; Enterobacteriaceae
Description: partial RtT sRNA
Rfam family: RtT RNA
About the family: This family represents a bacterial cis-regulatory element known as RtT RNA.
Source: RNAcentral
CUCCGGGGGCAAGAGGUUCGACUCGAGCGAAGCGAGAGAACGUUGCAUCAGCAACGGCCCGCAGGGCGAGCCACGCAGUGGCGAGUCAUCCUCUAUCACCGACCA